Vigna angularis (adzuki bean) is the source of this 1144-nucleotide RNA transcript. It is a transcript of the gene named polynucleotide 5'-hydroxyl-kinase NOL9, with no coding region annotated. The transcript has 6 exons. NCBI's taxonomy places the organism in Eukaryota, Viridiplantae, Streptophyta, Magnoliopsida, Fabales, Fabaceae. The annotation marks the transcript as partial. The record is from RefSeq and is a predicted model, not a curated record.
UGGACUUGCUGGCUAUCUGUCAUUUUUUUCUGCAACAGGUGUCUUUUCCUUGGUGACGUUUCUUGUAAAAGAGAUCCAUCAACAUACUUAAAUUAUGUCUUUGCCAUUUAUGAUUAUUACCAAAAGGAGUAUGGCAUCUCUGUGAAAGGAGAAAAUCCUUGUAAUAUCAAGUUGCCUCUUAUUGUGAAUACUUCUGGCUGGGUGAAAGGGGUUGGUUAUGAUGUAUUAGUGGACAUGUUGAAAUAUAUUUCUCCAACACAUGUAGUUAAGAUAAGCACAUCCAGUGAAAAUAAGAAUCUACCUGCUGGAGAAUUCUGGUUUGAUGAAGACCAGAUGGAACAAUUAACCUAAUGGAGAUAAAUUCAGCUCGUCAGGAUUCAUUAAAUAGAUCGGUACUUUUUCAGAAGGAUGCUCGUCCCCUACGCGAUUUACGAAUAAUGGCUUAUUUCAGACAGUGCUUUUCUAGUGAUUCAAAUAUUUCUACUAUGAAGGAACUUGCACAUGCCUUGGCCUCUCACUGUCCUUAUGAAGUUCCCAUUGCAAGCAUAAAGAUGAGGCAUCUUCAUUGUGAGGUCCCAAGCUCUGAAAUAUUCUUCAGUCUGAAUGCUACUAUUGUUGUCUUAGCUGUUGAUUUUGAAGGACCUGAAAAUUUACUGUUUUGGCCUUGGUGUCAAGUCUCAUUAAAAUGCACCCAAAAUCCCACUUGUCAGACCUCAUUAAAAACGCACUCAAAAUCCCUCUGAACGGACGCCAUGUGUCAAGCAAUAAGGAUUAGAAAUCAGAUAGUGGGAUGCAGGUGUUAGCAGAAGAGUGGACGCUCGUUUUGACGUGGGAAGAAAAAUGAUUUUCUGAAACUUUUUUCCCACUCACUUCUGCAUGCAACCAUUUUUCUCUCUGAUUUCCGAAACUCCAUUUUCUCCUCCUUCUCACUACACCUUCUUAUCUUCUCUCUAAGAAAUCUUACCUUUUCCCUUCUCCGAUCACCAUUCAGGCACCGUAGAAGCGUUUCUGGCGCCCUAAGCUUCAUUUUGAACUGAACAGCUUCGAGUUAUGAACUGUUUGAAGAGUUGGUUGAGUGUUGAGGGUAGAGGGAAUCGUAUUUCAGCGAACUGAGUUUUGGUCUGUAGGACGUACAUUCACACUA